CCUUGUAUGACAAUUUAAACCAGCAAGAAAAAUGUUGCACCCAGGGCAUUUGUUUUCUUAGAAGCUGCACCAGGGAAUUUGUUUUCCUUGUUUUUUUGGACAAGUCAAUCUCUAUUUCUAACAAAUUACAGGUACAUAUCUUGAGCAUGAUUCACAAGUUAUAUAUGCUUGGUAUAACCAUAAUGUUAAUCACAAAACGUGUUUGAUUAUACUAGAUAACCACAUGGCACUCUUCAAGUUCACAGACGCGUCCUGAAUUUAGUUUUGGCUCAUCUUCUCCAUCAGAAUCUUCAAGAGAAGCAAACAGGCAAUCACACAGGUGUUAUUGUCACUGGAAUGAGCAACAAGGUUCCAAGGUGUCAUUCCUUUCGUAAAUUUCUAGCAAGAAAGGCUCUUUUGGAUCAGCAAAAAAAUGAGUGUGGGGCACCAGAUCCUCCCUGCUAUUGUCUCACUCUCUUCUCCUCCAUGAUUGGGAUUCCCAUGUGAUUGUGCUCCUCCUCUAAACACUCAGACACUCAAAGAAAGAGAGAGAAAGAUAUAGACAGAGAUGUGCGGUCUUGUUUGGGCUAAUCCUCCUUCAUGGUCCUUAAGGACCUUAACCUAUAGGGGUACGUAGUACCAGUACCACUCCCACCUGUGAAUAUUGGAUGUGAUAAAUGUUGUGUUGUUUUUGAGUUUACUCAUACAAGCUUUUUAGCUUACCGGGUUUGUUGUUUACAACCCGGCGCACCUAUUUCUUGGUGUAGGGGUUAGACCUGCAGGUGAGGAUCAACAGGGUUGAGAUGGAGGCGUAGUGGCUAGGUUUUUUGUUGUUGUUGGGUUUUGAGUGUGUCUUUGUAUAUUCUUUUUAUAUACAUUGGGAUAGGAAUUAUUAAACUCAUGUGAGCAUUCCCUUUCUUGUUCUCAAGUUAUGUAAACAAGGAAAUGUAAUAUUUAACUCAAUUUGGAGUUGUAUGUAAAUUUACAUUUCGCAUUGAGUUUAUUUUCCUUGAUUUUUGUUGAAACAGGUUUUGGGAUAUUAAUAUUUUAGGAUAUAUCAUGCCAAAAUUUUUGAAAUUUAUCUUUCGAAAAUUGGGGCGUGAC
RNAcentral lists this long non-coding RNA (1083 nucleotides) under Fragaria vesca (wild strawberry). RNAcentral describes it as "long non-coding RNA (FVES_LNC001554)". Lineage: Eukaryota; Viridiplantae; Streptophyta; Magnoliopsida; Rosales; Rosaceae. The record is from RNAcentral.